CAAUACAAUACAAUACACACAAUAGACAUUGGUGGGCAAUACUGCUGAGUUAAAAACCUUAUUUUCCUUUGUUCGACGAUUCCGAAGAUCUUCUCCCAGUUGACUACAGGUAUGUCGAACCUUGUUAUUCGAAAUCUAGAGUGACUUGUAUCUGCAUGGUAUAAAGGUAAAUAUAUAUAAAAUGAAUCCAAUCAGUUUUAUAUUGUCCACCUCGUAGUGAGGCGAAUUAUUUACGCAGUACGUAGUUGGCAUCUCAUGUCUCAAUGUUGAACUAAAUAUAACCCUAAAUUUAACAAUAGUAACUGGUACUUUAGCCGUGGACGUUUUUGCUUAUGGUACAAUGGGGAUUUGUCCGGCAUACACGACAAUGUCGUUCAAGGUUGCCAACAUUUUUAAAGGAAUAUCAAGUUAUCGUCGCGUUUUUCCUAGAUUAAAACCGGCUAUAUUUAAUGCAUACGUUUUAGUUGAUUUGUCAAAUAAUGCAUAUUACAUAAGUCGAAAGAAUUAUUACAAAUAAAUCCUUUAUUCUUUAAAAAUAUUAAGUUCGUUUUUGAUCAAUAGUCAAUAUUAUACGUAAUUGCGGCACUUCCUGUGCAGAUUGAAUUUCCAGGAAUUUUGCAUGACUUAUAAUUGUCAACGAAUUCUGAAAAUUAUGGAAUAUACCGACACGAAAUGAAAGAUCGAUAGCUUAUAUUUACGUUUUGACUAUGGGAGUCCGCAUAUAAAAAAUCUAGCUUGUUCAAAAGUUUGAUGCGCACCGCAUUCAUGUAUUAUGGUAAUGUCAACAGCGGUAUAUACAGCUAAUAUACAUAAAGAUGUUUAAAGAUUGUGCGCAGUUCUAAAAUUAAAUGUUCACAAAGCUGAAAAUUCCGCAAGGUGGUUGCUGAUACUCCCUGCCUAAAAAUUUUAGAAACCUUAGUUCAGUUUUGAUGACGAACGAAGGCCUAGUACCUCAGAGGGAUAUAUAUGCUAUUUCGAAAGUCUAUAUUAUUAGACAUGUGUUUAAUUAAAAGUGCUCUUAAUUAUGUACUAUAUAUUUCUGUUGAUGUAACCAUGCAGAUAUUGGUUCAUUGUUCCGUUCAAAGAACUCUUUGAGCCAGGACAUUUUAUUCAAGCAGUUUUGGAAAUAAGAGCACAUGUAUAACAUAUAUAAGCCAUAUGUUCCUGCAAACACAUUUAUAUGAAUUUAUAAUGCCCUGAUACAGCCUUACUUCGAUUACUGCUCUCCCCUAUUGAGGUGUCUGUAACAGUGACGUGCUGGCAGGGGGCGGGCGUGGAGCCGCAGCCCCCUCCCCCCAGCUGGCAAUUCUUUGGGAGGGGGAGCAAAAAUGAAAAGGGGGAGCCGAUCCCACGCCGAAUUUUGAAAGUGGGUAGGAAAAACAUAUUCGAAAAAAUAUAGUUACAUCCGCCAAGAAAAGAUGUGUUUAUAUAGGCUUAUAAACAGACUAAGCGCAUAGGCGACAAAGUGAUAUAUUAAAUUACAGACUAUUUUGUCUAACCGUAUUUCCUAAUUUGCUACCUCACGACUCACACGAAAUCGUUUAUAUAGAAACAUGAUCAGUGAUCACACGCAACGUCUCAUUACCGGAAUAUUAAUUGGUCAAGUUUCGAAGCGGUCACGGGAAUUGUGCCCUUUUUUGCUGUCGGUAAUAUGCCCUUAUACUCUUUAUUAUGACGAAUCAUGAGAGCGGCGCAAAUUAGAUAGUUGAAGUUAUGAUAAUGUAAAGUUGUGUACACAAUUUAGUUGUUUGCGCAAGAAACAUCAUGAGUAAUGUAAGUAAUGAAAUUAUGCUGAAACACGCCCUUAAAAUGCGGAAACCUUAAAAUGUAUAUGCGUGGGGUCCGUGUGUUAUUGUGAAAAGAGCAGUAAGUUGUAAAUGUGUUCAGAUCACUAAAUCAGUAGAGAAUAGAAUCGGGAUUAUAUAUAUAUCAAUGGCUGGAAGUAGUUAGCAUUGCUUAAUUUAAGUACUACUACUAAAUUCUAACCAUAUUGCAAAUUUCGACACGUUAUAAUGCCGUUCCGUGACUAUCAGAUUUCUGUCAAAUCUUCCCCCAAAGUCCAGGAAAUGGCGUUUCAGGACUCUAAAUUCAAAAAUUUUCCUGGGGGCAUGCCCCCGGAAACCCCUAGACAAACCUCGCAGCUGUGGCGAUCGGCCCGUGCCUUCGGCUUUCGUUUAUCAAGCGUAACAUUAUAGGGGCAUUAUAUUGGUUGACAAACAGAAAAAUAGUACAGAAAAAUAGUACCCAGCACGGUCUGUAACAAAACACUGUGAGAUAAUUUACAAAAGUUCCAAAAUCAGGACGCCGGCGCCAGAAUAAUUGCUGGCGCCAGUUAUGAGAUCAGAUCUGUUGACAUCCUUCGAUCUCUUGACUGGAAAAAUUUGGACUCAAGAUGGUACUUAAAGUGAUUCAACUCACUUGCGUGACGUCAGAAUAAAUGCUAGUGCCAGACUUCUGUCGCCGACGGCCAUUAGACGGCCAUUAGCUAGUUAUAGUGAAAAUCAUUUUUUGUGUCAGGGGCACUUUAACUCAUAUCGAUCCGUGUUACUCAAUUUCCGUAAUAUAUGACGGAAAGAAUGAAUAUUACAGAACUCUGCGAGUAAUUGCAGUAGAAAUACGAAAAUACCACAAAAAAAUUUAACUAAGCCAACAUUCUUAUAUAAAGUCUUGAGUAAUAGUGCUACACCGACUCUGAAAGAUUCAUUCGUAAUUAGGAAUAUUUUACUAAAGAAUUAUAUAAUCUUAGAAAUUCUCGAACUGAUCUGGCCUUUCCAAAGCCAGACAAGAGAAUUUCUCAAAAGAAGCUUUAAAUAUAUAGCGGUGCUUAUCUUUGCAUGGAAUAACCUUCUGCUUGAAGCUAAGCAAACUCAACUUACUUAAAAGUUUUAUAUAUUUACUUACUUAAAAGUUUUAUAAAACAAAAUAUUCGAUGUUAAGAAUCCAGUCUGGAUUCUUUAAUCAUAUCUUUAUCUGGGACACACCACCGUAAAUUACUGUAGCUUUUAAUAAUCUACAUAUAGUAGUAUACUUAGUUUCCUUCCUUUUUAUAUUCUUUAAUUUGUAAUAUUUUAAUAGGACGCCACUGUGGAAAUCAACUUUCGUAGUUGUCGGUGCUAGCGUCGUAAAAUAAAGCGUGUAAUAAAAUGUUAUUGCAUCUUAUUUGUCAAAUUCCUAACCUCACUUAUAAACAGCUAUAUAGACAGGAAUCGAUAAGUCUAUUUUAAUUGUUAAUAAAUCUAAUAUGAGAACUUUGUAUACCAAACAAGCAUACAGUGAUCUUUUAUCAUUUCUUAGGCAAUACUUAUAGCAGCCCUUAUCAGUGAAUGAAGCGGAAUGAAGUGGAAUUUUGCGACGACCAAGUCAAUCAUUCAACUCAUAAUUGCUCUAAUUUGGUGUGGAGUGGUCAACAGUGCACAUGGCAUUGGUAAUACUAUAGAAAUAGAUACACAUGCAGCAACCCCUUGCCAUAAUUAAGCAAUUAGCCUAUAUUUCCUAAAAUUUGCUUCAACAAUACUGAUAUUCUUCGGUACUGAUACUGUACUGAUAUUCUUCCGGUAAUAUAUAUUCUGCAGAACCUGCCUCACUCGGCUGAUUAAAUAACAAAUGUAAUACUUCAACAGCCUAUAUAUCAGGGUGUAUCAUAAAAAACGGAGUCCUCGCUUCAAAUAUAAAUUUCGAAACUAAUAUUAGAGUAAAACGUUCGGGUUUACAUUUGUUUUAAAGCAUAGACAUUCAGCUUUCUAACGAUGGGUUAUUUCGUAAAUUUAAUCCAGUAGUUCGUGAAUAAUAGUAUUUUAAGUGAUUGCGAUUGGAGAGUCAAAAAUUUGAGAUGCAAUAACAAAUCGGUACUUGAUGAAAAUAACUUAUUUUGUCAAGAAAACGAGCAAAUUGAGGCAUUUUGGCAAUAGCUUGUAAAAACUAAGUAAUAAAGGCUUCCAAUACACUAUUUUAAAUUCACUUGCUGACUUCAAAUGCGUUUAUAUUCCCAGCUGAAGCGUGUUUUAGCUUGCCGUCAACUUGCUAAUUUAUGUUUACAUUGCGCCCGAUUCGAUGGCGUUAGUUCGGACGAUGCAUCAUGAACAUAAGAUUGUUUUGAUGAUUUCUGGAAAUAAUUUAGGAUUUUGAAAUAAAUAAAACAACCUAAUCUCUUUUAGAAUGUUUUUAACAAGUUUUUACUGGUUUUUCUGAUGUGGCAACAAGAACAUUAAAUUUUGAACAAGAAAAUUCAAACAUUGUAACCGACUAUGGAAUAUCAUAGUAAUUUGGAUAAUUAAGCGGCAUCUAAAAAUUAUAGGUUUUACUAAAUUUUCUUCUGUGCAGUUAUUACUUGCACUAAAGACACGGAUGACUAUUUGUUCGAAAGAUAAAUGAGCGGGCCUUAAAAUAAGACUAAAACCGUUUUAUUAAAUAUAGCAAGCCGAUAGUUAUUAAGUACAAAAGAUGGACUCCGUUUUUUUCUGAUACACCCUGUAUAGGACCUACAUUUGGCUAAAGCCAAAACUUUCAGACGAUAGGAAGAACACUGUUUGCAGUACUUUAAAAAAGCAUGCAACACGAAGGUUUUUUGCUUAUCCAAUCUUUAAUUGUUAAAGUUUAUUUGAAUCCUGAAACCACAUCUGAGAUUCGUCUGUGCAUGUGCCACAUGGAAUGAUAUGAUAUAUCAUGACAUUAUUGGGGAAGGCCCCGACAACAUGCAGGUUAUGCGCGGCUUUUAAGUCACGCAUCCUUUUGUUCAUGUUAUAUUUCAGUAUAGUUAAACAGUUUGUUCACAUAUUGUUUGUUUUGCCCUCUGAUGCAAAGACGAGACAGAAUUAGAGAAAAUAUUAAAAGAAAUGUACUUGGCUGAUGCAAGAUCAUACAUUAACGAAAAUGGUGUUUGGGGCAUUGAAGAGUUUCUCAGGAGAAAACUUGAAGGGUGGAAAGAAGUGAAAAUACGAUUUGCCAUAACAGGAGAUAGUGGCUCAGGAAAAUCUGCCUUUAUCAACGCAAUAAGAGGGUGAUAUUUUUAUGCUUAUUACUUUCCAAAACUGGGCUCCUCCCCAAAAUAUGUG
Paramuricea clavata is the source of this 5051-nucleotide non-coding RNA. NCBI's taxonomy places the organism in Eukaryota, Metazoa, Cnidaria, Anthozoa, Malacalcyonacea, Plexauridae. The record is from the annotation of a GenBank genome assembly.